This 490-nucleotide ribosomal RNA is filed under the name uncultured bacterium. RNAcentral's name for it is "bacterial SSU rRNA". It matches the Rfam family "Bacterial small subunit ribosomal RNA", at positions 29 to 524 of the family's 1533-position model. The record is from RNAcentral.
AAUGAACGCUGGCGGCGCGCCUAAUACAUGCAAGUCGAGCGAGAAGACGUAGCAAUACGUUUGUAAAGCGGCGAACGGGUGAGGAAUACAUGGGUAACCUACCCUCGAGUGGGGAAUAACUAGCCGAAAGGUUAGCUAAUACCGCGUACGCUUCUUGGACUUCGGUUCAGGGAGGAAAGCGAUGCCGAGGGUAUCGCGCUCUUGGAUGGGCUCAUGUCCUAUCAGCUUGUUGGGAGGUAACGGCUCACCAAGGCUUCGACGGGUAGCUGGUCUGAGAGGACGAUCAGCCACACUGGCACUGCGACACGGGCCAGACUCCUACGGGAGGCAGCAGUAAGGAAUAUUGCGCAAUGGGCGAAAGCCUGACGCAGCGACGCCGCGUGGGGGAUGAAGGUCUUCGGAUUGUAAACCUCUUUCAGCUCCGCGAAGCGAGAGUGACGGUAGGAGCAGAAGAAGCACCGGCCAACUACGUGCCAGCCGCCGCGGUAAC